This 112-nucleotide small nucleolar RNA is filed under the name Carlito syrichta (Philippine tarsier). RNAcentral's name for it is "Small nucleolar RNA SNORA31 (ENSTSYG00000024186.2)". It matches the Rfam family "Small nucleolar RNA SNORA31". Rfam says of the family: ACA31 (SNORA31) belongs to the H/ACA class of snoRNAs which are thought to guide the sites of modification of uridines to pseudouridines. ACA31 is predicted to guide the pseudouridylation of U3713 in 28S rRNA and U218 in 18S rRNA. This family includes the mouse homologue snoMBI-161. Lineage: Eukaryota; Metazoa; Chordata; Mammalia; Primates; Tarsiidae. The record is from Rfam by way of RNAcentral.
CCACUGAUAGACUGUGAACAAUUGCUGUUGUUCUUUUGGGUACAAAAGAAAGAAAUCCUGCACUUUCUGUCUGUCUUUUGUGGUGGUUCAGAUUGAAUUGGGGAAUAUAUUU